UUUAUGGGGUGACUGCGUACCUUUUGUAUAAUGGGUCAGCGACUUAUAUUCUGUAGCAAGGUUAACCGAAUAGGGGAGCCGAAGGGAAACCGAGUCUUAACCGGGCGUUAAGUUGCAGGGUAUAGACCCGAAACCCGGUGAUCUAGCCAUGGGCAGGUUGAAGGUUGGGUAACACUAACUGGAGGACCGAACCGACUAAUGUUGAAAAAUUAGCGGAUGACUUGUGGCUGGGGGUGAAAGGCCAAUCAAACCGGGAGAUAGCUGGUUCUCCCCGAAAGCUAUUUAGGUAGCGCCUCGUGAAUUCAUCUCCGGGGGUAGAGCACUGUUUCGGCAAGGGGGUCAUCCCGACUUACCAACCCGAUGCAAACUGCGAAUACCGGAGAAUGUUAUCACGGGAGACACACGGCGGGUGCUAACGUCCGUCGUGAAGAGGGAAACAACCCAGACCGCCAGCUAAGGUCCCAAAGUCAUGGUUAAGUGGGAAACGAUGUGGGAAGGCCCAGACAGCCAGGAUGUUGGCUUAGAAGCAGCCAUCAUUUAAAGAAAGCGUAAUAGCUCACUGGUCGAGUCGGCCUGCGCGGAAGAUGUAACGGGGCUAAACCAUGCACCGAAGCUGCGGCAGCGACACUGUGUGUUGUUGGGUAGGGGAGCGU
This 653-nucleotide ribosomal RNA is filed under the name Escherichia coli. Its description in RNAcentral is "partial 23S ribosomal RNA". It matches the Rfam family "Bacterial large subunit ribosomal RNA", at positions 585 to 1239 of the family's 2925-position model. The record is from RNAcentral. Lineage: Bacteria; Pseudomonadati; Pseudomonadota; Gammaproteobacteria; Enterobacterales; Enterobacteriaceae.